GGCUUUUUUCGCGGCGGCGGACCUCGACCGCCAAUGGAAGAGAUGAUUGUUUUCAUUGGCGAUCAUCGUGGGAACUAUGGCGUCGAGGCGAUCUGCAGGGUUUUGCCGGUCGCGCCA
Molecule: non-coding RNA, 117 nt
Organism: Marivita cryptomonadis
Lineage: Bacteria; Pseudomonadati; Pseudomonadota; Alphaproteobacteria; Rhodobacterales; Roseobacteraceae
Source: Rfam